UUAAAGAGUGCGUAAUAGCUCACUAGUCGAGUGACACUGCGCCGAAAAUGUACCGGGGCUAAACAUAUUACCGAAGCUGUGGAUUGUCCUUUGGACAAUGGUAGGAGAGCGUUCUAAGAGCGUCGAAGCAUGAUCGCAAGGACAUGUGGAGCGCUUAGAAGUGAGAAUGCCGGUGUGAGUAGCGAAAGACGGGUGAGAAUCCCGUCCACCGAUUGACUAAGGUUUCCAGAGGAAGGCUCGUCCGCUCUGGGUUAGUCGGGUCCUAAGCUGA
RNAcentral lists this ribosomal RNA (271 nucleotides) under Scrippsiella hangoei. Its description in RNAcentral is "partial Bacterial large subunit ribosomal RNA". It matches the Rfam family "Bacterial large subunit ribosomal RNA", at positions 1123 to 1399 of the family's 2925-position model. Lineage: Eukaryota; Dinophyceae; Peridiniales; Peridiniaceae. The record is from RNAcentral.